CAUUGAUAAGAGUGGAUCAGAUGGCAGCUCGCAUGGACUCGACUCCCUGAUUCAGCAGCACGCAGACUCUAUGGAGCAACCAAACAGAGGCACCGGGCUUUUGCUCUAGAAAUGGACUCGCAGGCUCGUCUCUUUAGGCUGCAAACCUCUCACCGCACUUGCAUGAGAGCAAGUCCCGCUGAAGUCAGGGGAAGUUACUUACGAGAGAGAGAGGAGAGAGGACCCUGAAACACACGCCACCUAUCUUUGUGGGGAGGGAUAAUUGAAGAGCGCCAAACGUGAGCAUCAUGUGGAAACGUGAUCGCCAAGUUUCUCUCUG
Molecule: long non-coding RNA, 319 nt
Organism: Lacerta agilis (Sand lizard)
Lineage: Eukaryota; Metazoa; Chordata; Lepidosauria; Squamata; Lacertidae
Exons: 3
Source: RefSeq, a predicted model, not a curated record